Molecule: ribosomal RNA, 424 nt
Filed under: uncultured prokaryote
Description: bacterial SSU rRNA
Rfam family: Bacterial small subunit ribosomal RNA
Source: RNAcentral
UGGGGAAUCUUAGACAAUGGGGGAAACCCUGAUCUAGCCAUGCCGCGUGAGCGAUGAAGGCCCUAGGGUUGUAAAGCUCUUUCGCCAGGGAUGAUAAUGACAGUACCUGGUAAAGAAGUCCCGGCUAACUCCGUGCCAGCAGCCGCGGUAAUACGGAGGGGACUAGCGUUGUUCGGAAUUACUGGGCGUAAAGCGCACGUAGGCGGACCGAAAAGUUGGGGGUGAAAUCCCAGGGCUCAACCCUGGAACUGCCUCCAAAACUGCCGGUCUAGAGUUCGAGAGAGGUGAGUGGAAUUCCGAGUGUAGAGGUGAAAUUCGUAGAUAUUCGGAGGAACACCAGUGGCGAAGGCGGCUCACUGGCUCGAUACUGACGCUGAGGUGCGAAAGCGUGGGGAGCAAACAGGAUUAGAUACCCGUGUAGUCC